AACAGAUGUGAUCACGCUCAAUCAGCUAAAGUAACAACUCAACCUGUCACCUCUUGUUCCUAUUCCACUGGCUCAGUGAUUAAAUUUAAAAGCUUUGACACUGGCUUUCAGGACAGCCACUGGAACAGCACCCUCUAUCUCAGUACAGUUGUUCAGAUGUAACAGAGGGAGCAUGUACUUGUACAAGUGUGCUACAUUCCUUCUCUGCAAUGAAGUCACUACUGUCACAAUGUCCAUUCACCAUGCCUGUCACCACAACACACUACAUUUCCCAUAAUCCUCCCUGCCCAUCACCUGCACACUCAACUCAAUCUUCACACCUGUUUGCCAUCAACCUCAUCAGUUUCCCUAUUUAAGCAAGUGCCAAACACUCCUUCAUUGUCUGGUCUCAUCACCACUGGGACUGUUAUAUAUUCUUUGCCCAAGAACUGCUUACCUACGUUGUUUCACACAGAAGGACUUGCCCAUCUACUCACCUUGGAUUCUUACCUGUGUUAUGCCUGUUGUCAGCCUGUCCUUCAGUCACGCCAGCCAGAACCUGCAAAACAUAAAGACUCUUGCUCCUUCAGUUAACUGACUUAUUCCAGAGUUCCCAUGUAGCUACACUCCACUUUUCUUUGACCUGAAUGAGACCACGAUUUGACCAGAGAACACUGACACCAAAAACUGGGAGAGAUGAAGCAGGUGUCCUUCUCAAAUACUUGGUGAGCGGUGCAACUUUUUGGUGUUUUUCAAGUUGUUGUCCUGUUCCUUGGUGUCACUUCAGAACUAACCUAGUUUAAGUUUUGUGCAACUAAGACACGGAGGAUGAUCCUUAAAUAUAGAGGCCCAUCUGUUCUACAAUAUGCCAAAGUCACACCUUUAUAACUGAGCCAGAAUGAGAUCAGGUUGUGUCAUUUUAAACAAUCAAAUUUAAGGCUUUUACACUGGCUUUAAGGACUGCCACUGAAAUCACACCCCUACCUCAAAACACUUGUUCAAGAAAUGUUACUGCAGAGAAGGAGCAUUUUACUUGUAAAAGUGUGCCAUGUUCCUCCUCCGUAAUGCAAUCACAGCAGAUGUUCACUACCUCAAUGCCUAUUUUUGUUACUUUCUGGAGGUAUGCAAAUAAUUUGCUUUGUAUAACACCUUAUUUGCUGUUUUUUUAAUUUUUUAUUUAUGCCUUCACCUUCUUGUAUUCCAGUUUAAGACUUGUAUGUCCUUUGUCACAGUAACCUUUUUGUAUUUAUCCCUGCUCUUGUUUGUAACUUUUUUUUUUUCCAAGCCUAUUUUUUUAUACUUUCAUUUAUGCUCUUUGUAUUAUUGGCCAUUAUGUUUUAUGGCCCUGUACCCAUUGACUUGACUUAUGCCCUUUUCUAUUUUUAACUGUUGCAUUUUUUUUUUUUUUAAAGUGUACUGUAUAAAUCAUCUUGUCUUUACUGUUAUUGUCUUUUGUAUAUUUAUGCACUUGUUUUCAUUCUCUGCCUUCUGUAUAUUAGCAGUAAUGAUUGUCUUACUAAGCCCUUUUUAUUUAGAUUUUGUGAUUCUUUAUGACCUCUGUGCACAUUUGUAUUUGUGUCUGAUGUAAUUUCAUUUAGCCUGUUAGGUAUAUUAUAAGUUAUUAUAAAUAAAUCCAAUUUCUUUUUAUUUUCUCUUUUUUUUUCUUUUUUUUUUUUUUCCUCCUUUUUGGGGUUAAUGCCUUGCAUUGUCUUUGUUAACAAGGCCAGCAAAAAAAAUAAAAUGAUUGCUUUAUGCUCCUGUUUUUUUAUUUUUUUAAAUAUACCCUUCAUUUGUGUCUUUGUCUGCUGUGUAUGCUCUUUCCUAUAUUGUAAAGCUUUCUAUGAGAGUGGCUAUUUGUAAACUGACUUGUAUAUAUUUUGUUAGGCCUUGUUUUGUAUUUAUGCUUUCAUUUUGAAGUAUCUUUUAAGGUUCCCUGUCCUGUUGCAGUGUUAAUUUUUAAAGUCUGUUAACCUUUUUUCUUUUUUUCCACCUAACAUCUUAAUUUAUUUACCUUUAUUCUUGUGCCCAUAGGCUCCUUUGUAUUAUUUGUAAUUUUACAUAAUUCAAAUGUUCAAAAUGACUUAUGUAAAAUUAAGUAAUUGUCAGGUUUUUAUUUUAUUUUGGUCCCAGUUCCUGUAAAUUUCCUGUCUUAGUGUCUGUUCUCGAUAAGUUUCUUGUAUGUUAACAUGGCAACCUAUUGUAUCCACCUGUUUUAUGUUGACUCUGUGUCUGUAUAUAUGUACUCCAUUUAUUUCCUUGUCUGUUUUUCCAUCUGAUUAAUUUUGUUCUUUCCCUGAGUAUUUGUCACUUUUGAUUUAUUCAAGUUUUACUGCUGCAACUAGAUUGGGCUUCCUGUAUGCCAAUUGUGCCUCGGUGUGUCAGUCCCCUGGCUUUGACUCGAGCACCUAACCAUCUCCCUGGUUGUGACACGGACUUCCUGUCCUAUGGCUUUGCCUUCCUUGUCCUUGCCUUGUCUGUCCACCCCUUUGGCUCUAUUGUUGUCCUUUCUCCCUCCAUCUUGGGUUGCAAAUUCAUCCUGUCAUCCUGGGUCAUUGGCUCAGCCUGGGUCGUCACCUACAACUUGUUCACUUGUCCAUCCUCCAAAUCCAUUGAGGGUCUGCAUCCUGGUGAUCUUUUCCUGUCCUUUUCUCCCUGAAUCAUGCUUAGUGAAAAACACCAGAGAUAAUCCAUCAGCCAUUGUUUGCAGCUCCA
Long non-coding RNA from Megalobrama amblycephala (Wuchang bream), 2691 nucleotides. RefSeq lists it as uncharacterized. The transcript has 4 exons. NCBI's taxonomy places the organism in Eukaryota, Metazoa, Chordata, Actinopteri, Cypriniformes, Xenocyprididae. The record is from RefSeq and is a predicted model, not a curated record.